GUGAGCCAUAAUUAUACCCACUGCACUCCAGCCUAGGCAAUAGAAGAAAAGAGAAAAAACACUGGAAUCUUCGCAUCUAAGGAAACUGUCAGAUCACUAACUGACCACUAAGCUAACAAUAGAAAAUUCAUUGGCUACAUGUGACAAAAAAUACACUUUAUAAAAUUAGUUCUAAAAAGUCACUGAACAAAUAACAGCUACAACAGAUAGCAACAACAAACCCAGGAGAGGGAGAGAAUCUGAUUUUCAUAGUUGCCACCUUAUAAUAUUCAAAAUGCAAAAAAUCUGAGGCAUGAUAAGAAACAAUGACCCAUACACAAGAAAAAAAGAAACUGAUAGAAACUGUCCCAAAGGAGGCCCAGACAUUGAGAUUUUUAAUGUGGACUUUCAGUCAUAUGCUCAAGAACUGAAGGAAACCAUGGACAAAGAACUAAAGGAAACCAUGAAAAACAAUGUCCUAAGUAGACAAUAUCAAUAAAGAGAUAGAAAUUAUGAAAAAGCAAUCAAAUAGAAAUUCUGGAGCUGAAAAGUACAGUGACAGAAAGAACAGAUUUGAACAGGCAGAAUAAUCAACUAAUUUGAAGAUAGGUCAAUUGAGAUUAUCCAAUCUGAGGAACAGAAAGAAAAAAGAAUAAAGAAAAAUGAACAGAGCCUAAGAAAUAUGUGAGACACCAUUAAGUGUACCAAUAUACACAAAAUGGGAGUCCCAGAAUGAGAGAGAGAGAAGGGCAGAAAUAAUAUUUGAAGUAAUAAUGACCAAACACUAACCAAAUUUAGUGAAAGACAUAAGUAUGAAUAUAUUGUGACUCCAAAGUAGCAUAGACAUUGAAACCAAGACACAUUAUAAUCAAACUGUUGAAAGCCAAACAGAAUCCUGAAAAUAGCAAGAUAGAGUCAAACCGUUAACUACUUAUGAGCCUUAACAGCUCAUUGGUUCAGGCAUUAGA
Sapajus apella (tufted capuchin) is the source of this 947-nucleotide long non-coding RNA. RefSeq lists it as uncharacterized. The transcript is spliced from 2 exons. NCBI's taxonomy places the organism in Eukaryota, Metazoa, Chordata, Mammalia, Primates, Cebidae. The record is from RefSeq and is a predicted model, not a curated record.